GAUGAACGCUGGCGGCGUGCCUAAUACAUGCAAGUCGAGCGAACAGACGAGGAGCUUGCUCCUCUGACGUUAGCGGCGGACGGGUGAGUAACACGUGGAUAACCUACCUAUAAGACUGGGAUAACUUCGGGAAACCGGAGCUAAUACCGGAUAAUAUAUUGAACCGCAUGGUUCAAUAGUGAAAGACGGUUUUGCUGUCACUUAUAGAUGGAUCCGCGCCGCAUUAGCUAGUUGGUAAGGUAACGGCUUACCAAGGCAACGAUGCGUAGCCGACCUGAGAGGGUGAUCGGCCACACUGGAACUGAGACACGGUCCAGACUCCUACGGGAGUCAGCAGUAGGGAAUCUUCCGCAAUGGGCGAAAGCCUGACGGAGCAACGCCGCGUGAGUGAUGAAGGUCUUCGGAUCGUAAAACUCUGUUAUUAGGGAAGAACAAAUGUGUAAGUAACUAUGCACGUCUUGACGGUACCUAAUCAGAAAGCCACGGCUAACUACGU
This 496-nucleotide ribosomal RNA is filed under the name uncultured bacterium. RNAcentral describes it as "partial 16S ribosomal RNA". It matches the Rfam family "Bacterial small subunit ribosomal RNA", at positions 28 to 506 of the family's 1533-position model. The record is from RNAcentral.